UCUUGGAGUCAAGGCCACGCCUGCUACAGCGGGAGGGAAAAAUGGAAAGACGGCAGAGGCUGCAUUUGCAUUGUUUGAUUUCGUGCUACGUUCUUCUGGAUGAUUUGGUGGAGAGGAGUAAGGGCCGCUAUUCGUUCUUUAGUGGCGUACCUCAAAGAAAAGUCUCUUCAAAGAGUACUCGGAUGAAUGGGACAUUGCCAGUGAAGAGAUGAAGAUCAUCAUCAUCGGAGGGACUACAGCAUUUGACUCAGCCUGAGCAAGAAUUGUGAUAGAGGGAACUGAAGUCUUACAAGAACUUGACGUUCCCAGAGCUGCGCCUUGCUAAUGGGACUUAUAUAUGCCUUAAACCUCAGCUACCAAAAGGUGCUGAAACAUACCUUUGUAAGUGUUUCAGAGGGUAUUCCUUGUGCUCAAUGGUCUGAAAUCUAGCCCAAAGAUAUUUUUUCUAAAAACUGCAAGAUUUUUAAGGUUAUAUUCAAAAUGUGUUUUUUGGGGUUUUUUUUUUUUUUUUUUUUUUUUUGUGCACAUGGGGUAAAACUGACUAUUUGAAUUCAUUUCACUGUGGCUUUAGAAUAAAGUGAGCAAAAGAAUAGACUUGUUUUUUUUUGUUAUUUACUUAAGUUAAAUAAGUGCAUAGUACUAAAGAAAAUUGAGGUAACAAUUUGCAUGGACCUUUCUGAGUAGAACUGAAUCAAACAACAAAGUGACAAUAACUUUAAGUAAUUUGACAACUUAAAAUCACCUAAAACCUUAAAGGAAUUUUAAUUUGAAUCAGCACAAUUAAGCUUUUUCAGGCCAAUCCAAAUCAUGUUGACCAUACUAAUUAAAUUGAGUUAGAACUAUGAAAGUCUCUGGAUAUAUACUUAAUAGUAAUUAAGUUGCAAGUACUUAAUUAGGUGCAUGCAAAUUGUUACCUCAAAGUUAAGCCAGUGUAUAAUUUUUUAGAGUACAGUGAGAGCAAUGUACAAAUGGAGAAAUUAAAGGCCAUGGCAUGUGCUGCACCUUAGUUGCAAUACUGGGGGACUAUUAGGAAAGGAUCCAAUCUGCCUCUUCAAUUUUCCACCAAAUAUUAAAAA
Long non-coding RNA from Melanotaenia boesemani (Boeseman's rainbowfish), 1076 nucleotides. RefSeq lists it as uncharacterized. NCBI's taxonomy places the organism in Eukaryota, Metazoa, Chordata, Actinopteri, Atheriniformes, Melanotaeniidae. The record is from RefSeq and is a predicted model, not a curated record. The transcript is spliced from 3 exons.